AGUGAACGCUGGCGGUAGGCCUAACACAUGCAAGUCGAGCGGCAGCACAGUAAGAGCUUGCUCUUACGGGUGGCGAGUGGCGGACGGGUGAGGAAUACAUCGGAAUCUACUUUUUCGUGGGGGAUAACGUAGGGACACUUACGCUAGUACCGCAUACGACCUACGGGUGAAAGCAGGGGAUCUUCGGACCUUGCGCGAUUGAAUGAGCCGAUGUCGGAUUAGCUAGUUGGCGGGGUAAAGGCCCACCAAGGCGACGAUCCGUAGCUGGUCUGAGAGGAUGAUCAGCCACACUGGAACUGAGACACGGUCCAGACUCCUACGGGAGGCAGCAGUGGGGAAUAUUGGACAAUGGGCGCAAGCCUGAUCCAGCCAUACCGCGUGGGUGAAGAAGGCCUUCGGGUUGUAAAGCCCUUUUGUUGGGAAAGAAAAGCAGCAGGUUAAUACCCCGCUGUUCUGACGGUACCCAAAGAAUAAGCACCGGCUAACUUCGUG
Molecule: ribosomal RNA, 492 nt
Filed under: uncultured bacterium
Lineage: Bacteria
Description: partial 16S ribosomal RNA
Rfam family: Bacterial small subunit ribosomal RNA
Source: RNAcentral